RNAcentral lists this ribosomal RNA (468 nucleotides) under uncultured bacterium. Its description in RNAcentral is "partial 16S ribosomal RNA". It matches the Rfam family "Bacterial small subunit ribosomal RNA", at positions 28 to 507 of the family's 1533-position model. The record is from RNAcentral.
GACGAACGCUGGCGGCGUGCUUAACACAUGCAAGUCGAACGGAAAGGCCCUGCUUUUGUGGGGUGCUCGAGUGGCGAACGGGUGAGUAACACGUGAGUAACCUGCCCUUGACUUUGGGAUAACUUCAGGAAACUGGGGCUAAUACCGGAUAGGAGCUCCUGCUGCAUGGUGGGGGUUGGAAAGUUUCGGCGGUUGGGGAUGGACUCGCGGCUUAUCAGCUUGUUGGUGGGGUAGUGGCUUACCAAGGCUUUGACGGGUAGCCGGCCUGAGAGGGUGACCGGCCACAUUGGGACUGAGAUACGGCCCAGACUCCUACGGGAGGCAGCAGAGGGGAAUAUUGCACAAUGGGCGGAAGCCUGAUGCAGCAACGCCGCGUGCGGGAUGACGGCCUUCGGGUUGUAAACCGCUUUCGCCUGUGACGAGGCGUGAGUGACGGUAAUGGGUAAAGAAGCACCGGCUAACUACGUG